RNAcentral lists this ribosomal RNA (245 nucleotides) under uncultured Syntrophobotulus sp. RNAcentral's name for it is "partial 16S ribosomal RNA". It matches the Rfam family "Bacterial small subunit ribosomal RNA", at positions 524 to 769 of the family's 1533-position model. Lineage: Bacteria; Bacillati; Bacillota; Clostridia; Eubacteriales; Desulfitobacteriaceae. The record is from RNAcentral.
UACGUAGGGGGCGAGCGUUGUCCGGAAUUAUUGGGCGUAAAGGGCGCGUAGGCGGUCUCUUAAGUCUGAUGUGAAAGUGCGGGGCUUAACCCCGUAAAGCAUUGGAAACUGGGAGACUUGAGGACAGGAGAGGAAAGUGGAAUUCCACGUGUAGCGGUGAAAUGCGUAGAUAUGUGGAGGAACACCAGUGGCGAAGGCGACUUUCUGGACUGUAACUGACGCUGAGGCGCGAAAGCGUGGGGAUC